GGAUACGACCGCCUUAGGCAUCUUUGGUGGUGGAAAGUUUUUUCGGUUGGGGAUGGGCUCGCGGCCAAUCAGCUUGUUGGUGGGGUAGUGGCCUACCAAGGCGACGACGGGUAGCCGGCCUGAGAGGGCGACCGGCCACACUGGGACUGAGACACGGCCCAGACUCCUACGGGAGGCAGCAGUGGGGAAUAUUGCACAAUGGGGGGAACCCUGAUGCAGCGACGCCGCGUGCGGGAUGACGGCCUUCGGGUUGUAAACCGCUUUCAGCAGGGACGAAUCUGACGGUACCUGCAGAAGAAGCGCCGGCUAACUACGUGCCAGCAGCCGCGGUAAUACGUAGGGCGCAAGCGUUGUCCGGAAUUAUUGGGCGUAAAGAGCUCGUAGGCGGCUCGUCGCGUCGG
RNAcentral lists this ribosomal RNA (401 nucleotides) under uncultured Nakamurella sp. Its description in RNAcentral is "bacterial SSU rRNA". It matches the Rfam family "Bacterial small subunit ribosomal RNA", at positions 171 to 591 of the family's 1533-position model. The record is from RNAcentral. Lineage: Bacteria; Bacillati; Actinomycetota; Actinomycetes; Nakamurellales; Nakamurellaceae.